AGGAUUAUAAUUUAUAUAAAAUAUUUGAUUUGCAUUCAAAAAAUAUUGUUUUUAACAAUUUAUCUUA
RNAcentral lists this transfer RNA (67 nucleotides) under Lacosoma valva. Its description in RNAcentral is "tRNA-Ala". Lineage: Eukaryota; Metazoa; Arthropoda; Insecta; Lepidoptera; Mimallonidae. The record is from RNAcentral.